This 504-nucleotide ribosomal RNA is filed under the name uncultured bacterium. RNAcentral's name for it is "bacterial SSU rRNA". It matches the Rfam family "Bacterial small subunit ribosomal RNA", at positions 21 to 518 of the family's 1533-position model. The record is from RNAcentral.
GGCUCAGGAUGAACGCUAGCGGCAGGCUUAACACAUGCAAGUCGAGGGGCAUCGGGAGUAGCAAUACUGCCGGCGACCGGCGCAAGGGUGCGUAACGCGUGAGCAACAUGCCCGUAUCAGGGGGAUAAUCCAUGGAAACGUGGUCUAAUACCCCAUAGUAAUUAUGUAAGGCAUCUUAUAUAAUUUAAAGCUUUGGUGGAUACGGAUUGGCUCGCGUGACAUUAGCUGGAUGGUAAGGUAACGGCUUACCAUGGCUACGAUGUCUAGGGGUUCUGAGAGGAAGGUCCCCCCACACUGGAACUGAGACACGGUCCAGACUCCUACGGGAGGCAGCAGUGAGGAAUAUUGGACAAUGGAUGGAAAUCUGAUCCAGCCAUGCCGCGUGCAGGAAGAACCGGCCCUAUGGGUUGUAAACUGCUUUUGUAUGGGAGCAAUAAGGGCUACGUGUAGUCCGAUGAGAGUACCAUACGAAUAAGCACCGGCUAACUCCGUGCCAGCAGCAGC